Molecule: ribosomal RNA, 535 nt
Filed under: uncultured bacterium
Lineage: Bacteria
Description: bacterial SSU rRNA
Rfam family: Bacterial small subunit ribosomal RNA
Source: RNAcentral
CAUGCCGCGUGAAGGAUGACGGCCCUAUGGGUUGUAAACUCCUGUCAGCAGGGAGGAAAGACAGUUUAGUUAACACCUGAACUGUUUGACAGUACCUGCAGAGGAAGUCACGGCUAACUCUGUGCCAGCAGCCGCGGUAAUACAGAGGUGGCGAACGUUGUUCGGAUUUACUGGGCGUAAAGGGUCCGCAGGCGUUUUAAUAAGUUGAAUGUUAAAUAUCUUAGCUUAACUAAGAAAAUGCAUUCAAAACUGUUAAAAUAGAGUUUGAGAGAGGAACGCAGAAUUCAUGGUGGAGCGGUGACAUGCAUAGAUAUCAUGAGGAAAGUCAAAUGCGAAGGCAGCCUUCUGGCUCAAAACUGACGCUGAGGGACGAAAGCGUGGGGAGCGAACAGGAUUAGAUACCCUGGUAGUCCACGCCGUAAACGAUGAGUAUUUGGUGCUGGGGGAUUCGACCCUUUCAGUGCCGUAGCUAACGCGAUAAAUACUCCGCCUGGGGACUACGAUCGCAAGAUUGAAACUCAAAGGAAUUGACGGA